CACUCUCUACCUUUCUUUCAUUUCAUUUUUGUUUUCUUUCAUACACUCUCUACUCUUAUAUCCUCUCUACCCGGUACUUCCACACCACCACCACCAUUUCUACCAUCAUUUUCCUGCAAGAUCACCGGAAAAUUCUUGGGAACCCAUAAACACCUUCACAUCUUUUUUUUGAGGUUCUAGCUAAUCUCUUUGGAGCUUGGAGAAUUAGGAUUUUGUGAUUACGAGUGUUUACCGAGUUUUAUAUCUCCUCAGUUGGGUUUACCGCUUCUUUAUGGAGAUUCACCAAAUACGCUGGAUACCUUGGGUUUCGGGCUUGAUUCAUACAGCUCUUUAUGCCGACUUUUUCUACUACUAGUACUAUAUCAAGAGCUGGAAGAACCGUGAGAAGCUGAAGUUGAUCUUUCUUGGCCUAUUGAGAGAAUUUUACUGAGAAGAACAAAGUUACUUCAGGGUGUUAACUUACAGGCUUUCAUUUCUUUCCUUUUUUUCUUUUUGAUGAAUAUUUUCUUGUUUCUGGACAGCUUUUAUACUUGCUACAAAAAUGUUCUUUGAAGAAUCACCAGCUUAGUUAUAGUUGAAUUCCUGUCCUGGUUACAUUAAUGAUAAUAAUAAUAAUAAUAAAACUGUACCAGUUAA
Long non-coding RNA from Quercus robur (English oak), 636 nucleotides. RefSeq lists it as uncharacterized. The transcript is spliced from 5 exons. The record is from RefSeq and is a predicted model, not a curated record. NCBI's taxonomy places the organism in Eukaryota, Viridiplantae, Streptophyta, Magnoliopsida, Fagales, Fagaceae.